Molecule: non-coding RNA, 100 nt
Organism: Desulfitibacter sp. BRH_c19
Lineage: Bacteria; Bacillati; Bacillota; Clostridia; Neomoorellales; Desulfitibacteraceae
Source: Rfam
UAGGCUGACAGUAAGGUUCCUGAUGCCCAAUCUGCUCAUGAGAAAACCAUAACUGCGUUGUUAGCUGCCCAGGGUGGAGCUAAUCUAAUUUAUGGUGCUG